This 30-nucleotide ribosomal RNA is filed under the name Daldinia cf. grandis IMCP 18266. RNAcentral's name for it is "partial 28S ribosomal RNA". The record is from RNAcentral. Lineage: Eukaryota; Fungi; Ascomycota; Sordariomycetes; Xylariales; Hypoxylaceae.
GGUUGACCUCGGAUUAGGUAGGAAUACCCG